UUUUUUUUGAUCAAAAUAUUUCCCUCCUCCCAACUUAAACAUUGCAUUGUCCUCAAUGUAAAAAAAUGCAAGAAAACUAUAUAUGAGAGACAAUAGAGAAAAUAAUAGAGAGAAGAAGAAUACCUUGAGCUGUUGAUUUCCAGAAAAGAAGACCUACAAAAUAAGAAGAAAACUAGAAAUAAAAGAAAAAAUUUAAUUCUAACUAAUAUACACAUACCUUGGCCGUCAUGUUCAGUCAUAAGAAGGCUCCCCCAAGGGAAAGAAGUCCUCUUCAUCUACAAACUUCUCAAGAAAAGGUUUUAAUCUGUGUCCAUUUACCUUAAAAAUUUUGCCAUCCUGUGGAUUCUCAAUUUCAACUGCCCCGUGUGGAAAAACAGUUUUUACAAUGAAAGGACCUGUCCAUCUUGAUCGUAACUUUUCAGAAAACAGAUGUAAGCGAGAGUCAUAACAAAGAACUUUUUGUGCAGGUUCAAAAGAUUUUCUUAGAAUUGAUUUAUCAUGCCUAAUUUUCAUUCGUUCUUUGCAAAGUCUAGCAUU
This 537-nucleotide long non-coding RNA is filed under the name Phoenix dactylifera (date palm). Its description in RNAcentral is "long non-coding RNA (PDAC_LNC011428)". The record is from RNAcentral. Lineage: Eukaryota; Viridiplantae; Streptophyta; Magnoliopsida; Arecales; Arecaceae.